GGUUAAUUUCAAGCUCAGAAGGGAAUAAAAAUAAAUCAGGAUUUCUUAGUUUUAGGACUUGCUCCAAUUUCUUCCAAUCUGGCAACUGCAUCUGGAAGCACAAAUAUUGUACAAUCAAAAAUUGUAUCCUCACAUUUGCUUAGGGAGAUUAUGGCCAGGUGUUCAUCAUAUAUAGCCUUCUUCCAUUUUAGACAAACAUUCUCAGCUAUUCUAAGACUUCGGCAAUCCAGAUACCCAAGAAUUGCAUUUGUAAUCUUCGGAUUGUCUGUAAAGAAAGAGAUUCGCAGAUUACAAGCGUUACCAUAAACAACAUGGGAAUUAAGGAUACCAAAAGGCCAAAUCGUUGUAUUUGCAUUCACGUCCAUUACGGUGAAAUAAGUGAUCAGUUCUAAAGGAAAAUAUUGUCAUAUGGAUGCAUACAAAACGUGAAGCUAUGAGAGAAAAUCAAGUGGAAUUUUGAAUUUUGGUAUAACCACAUGUUAGGACUGACAACAAACUGCACGCAAUCGCCAUCUGUUGAUGAUUUUACAAAUCUUAAGUAAACCAUAGUUUUAAAACAUCUUCUACACAAGCUAACUCCUUUUUUGACAGUGUUAAAUCGUUUAACAUAAAAUACUCACAACAGGAUUUUUUUUAAAUUUCUGUGGGUAUGCAAUAAAAUCUUUGGUUCAUU
Long non-coding RNA from Daphnia magna, 673 nucleotides. RefSeq lists it as uncharacterized. The record is from RefSeq and is a predicted model, not a curated record. NCBI's taxonomy places the organism in Eukaryota, Metazoa, Arthropoda, Branchiopoda, Diplostraca, Daphniidae. The transcript is spliced from 2 exons.